Molecule: long non-coding RNA, 159 nt
Organism: Cheilinus undulatus (humphead wrasse)
Lineage: Eukaryota; Metazoa; Chordata; Actinopteri; Labriformes; Labridae
Exons: 2
Source: RefSeq, a predicted model, not a curated record
GCUAAUGCUUGGUAAUCAGGAUCUACUCACCUGGUGUUGAACUUUCAGACACCAGUGUGCUACAGCAUCUUAUCAGUGUCUCCAUCUCUCUGCCAACCACCAACCAGGACACUCGCCACCAUUUGCACUAUUAUUGUCAAAUAAACUUCUUUAUCCUUA